GGCGCCGCUCUAGACUCCUCCUACUCCCGAAACCCGGCGGCUGGCGCGGGAUGGAGACUGGGUGCUGGUUGCUGGGGGGCGAGUUCGAGGACUCGGUGUUCGAAGAGAGGCGGGAGCGGCGGCCUGGACUGCCGGCGUCCUAUCGCGCCAAGCGCUGCGAGCCGCAGUGGUUUUACGAAGAAACGGGGAGCAGUGAUGAAGUUGAAGCUCUAACUCUGAAGAAAUUCAAAGGGGACCUCGCCUACAGACGGCAAGAGUAUCAGAAAGCACUGCAAGAGUACUCGAGUGUCUCUGAAAAACUGCCAUCUACAAAUUUUGCCAUGAAAAGGGAUGUCCAGGAGGGCCAGGCACGGUGUCUGGUUCACCUGGGAAGGCACACAGAAGCCCUGGAGAUCGCUGCAAACUUGGAAAAUAAAGCAACUAAUACAGACCAUUUAACCACUGUGCUCUACCUCCAAUUUGCUAUUUGUUCAAGUCUGCAGAACUUGGAGAAAACAAUCCUCUGCCUACAGAAACUGAUUUCUUUGCAUCCUUUUGAUCCUUGGAACUGGGGCAAAUUGGCGGAGGCUUACCUGAGUCUGGGGCCAGCUCUGUCAACAUUGUGUGCGUCAUCUCAAAAACAGAACAGUUUUGCCUCCGGUGACAAAACCAUCAAAUCCUCCUUUACACACUCAGGAAAAGACUGUCUUUUGUGUUUUCCUGAAACGUUGCCUGAGAGCCCUGUGUUUUCUGGGGAAGCAAGCAGCAGUAAUAACCAGAAGAAUGAGAAAGCUCUGAAAAAUAUUCAGAACUGUGUGGCAGAAAAGAGAGAAGCAGUGUUGCUCGAGACUCAGAUGAAAGCGUGUGCCUCCUUUAUACGAACCAGGCUUUUGCUUCAGCUCACCCAGUCUCAGCAAACCUCGUUUGCUUUGGAGAGGAAUUUAAGGACUCAGCAGGAAAUUGCAGAUAAAAUGAAAGAGUUCGGCUUCAAAGAAGACACUUUGCUGUUGAUAGCUGAGAUAUUUAUGGUCAUAUAUGAAACUCAGGCACCUGAUUAACUGUACUUCACGCCAGGAAUGCAAUUGAGAAGAAAACAGACCCAAUCCAGGUUCUGACAUCAUGUUUCCAUCUUGGCUAAACAAGUCCACAGAGAAGCUCUCUAGGGGAUGAUCUGGAAGCUAUAAGAUAAGGAAUUAGCAGGAUAAAGACAGCAGGAAUGACCUCUCCAGCAGAGUAAAUAAUCAGCAAGUGCAAAGGCCCUGAGGUGUGAAAGAGCAUGAAAGACCUGGAGGAAAACAGUGUGGCCACAGCACAGUGGAGGGGAAGGAAAAUCCUGCUGAGACAGAGGCCAUGAAUUUCUUUCUCUGUCCCUGAAGUCAGCGGAAGAAUCGAAUGAAGAGGCCUUUUGCUACAUUUCCCCAGUAACUACCUGGAGCUUAUACCCUUUUGUUCUAUCACAAUUUCCACGACUUUCCAGGACUUUCUACUCUUCCUCAAACCUCAUAUAAAAAAUGCUCAGGCUCAACCAUGUCUUAGGAUCAUUUCUUUAUGGAGGCUACAUAUGCCACAUAAAACUUAUAAACAAUCCA
This is an RNA transcript of Felis catus (domestic cat), 1568 nucleotides long. It is a transcript of the gene named chromosome F2 C8orf76 homolog, with no coding region annotated. The record is from RefSeq and is a predicted model, not a curated record. The transcript has 7 exons. NCBI's taxonomy places the organism in Eukaryota, Metazoa, Chordata, Mammalia, Carnivora, Felidae.